RNAcentral lists this ribosomal RNA (735 nucleotides) under uncultured Fusobacterium sp. RNAcentral describes it as "bacterial SSU rRNA". It matches the Rfam family "Bacterial small subunit ribosomal RNA", at positions 28 to 776 of the family's 1533-position model. The record is from RNAcentral. Lineage: Bacteria; Fusobacteriati; Fusobacteriota; Fusobacteriia; Fusobacteriales; Fusobacteriaceae.
GAUGAACGCUGACGGAAUGCUUAACACAUGCAAGUCAACUUGAAUUUGGGUUUUUAACUUAGGUUUGGGUGGCGGACGGGUGAGUAACGCGUAAAGAACUUGCCUCACAGCUAGGGACAACAUUUGGAAACGAAUGCUAAUACCUAAUAUUAUGAUAAUAGGGCAUCCUAUAAUUAUGAAAGCUAUAAGCGCUGUGAGAGAGCUUUGCGUCCCAUUAGCUAGUUGGAGAGGUAACGGCUCACCAAGGCGAUGAUGGGUAGCCGGCCUGAGAGGGUGAUCGGCCACAAGGGGACUGAGACACGGCCCUUACUCCUACGGGAGGCAGCAGUGGGGAAUAUUGGACAAUGGACCAAGAGUCUGAUCCAGCAAUUCUGUGUGCACGAUGAAGUUUUUCGGAAUGUAAAGUGCUUUCAGUUGGGAAGAAAGAAAUGACGGUACCAACAGAAGAAGUGACGGCUAAAUACGUGCCAGCAGCCGCGGUAAUACGUAUGUCACGAGCGUUAUCCGGAUUUAUUGGGCGUAAAGCGCGUCUAGGUGGUUAUGUAAGUCUGAUGUGAAAAUGCAGGGCUCAACUCUGUAUUGCGUUGGAAACUGUAUAACUAGAGUACUGGAGAGGUAAGCGGAACUACAAGUGUAGAGGUGAAAUUCGUAGAUAUUUGUAGGAAUGCCGAUGGGGAAGCCAGCUUACUGGACAGAUACUGACGCUGAAGCGCGAAAGCGUGGGUAGCAAACAGG